CCAGACUCCUACGGGAGGCAGCAGUGAGGAAUAUUGGUCAAUGGCCGGAAGGCUGAACCAGCCAUGCCGCGUGAAGGUCAGUGCCCUAUGGGCGUUAAACUUCUUUUGUGCGGGAGCAAUAAUGGUCACGUGUGGCCAGACGAGAGUACCGUACGAAUAAGCAUCGGCUAACUCCGUGCCAGCAGCCGCGGUAAUACGGAGGAUGCGAGCGUUAUCCGGAUUUAUUGGGUUUAAAGGGUGCGCAGGCGGGAGAUCAAGUCAGCGGUAAAAUGUCGGGGCUCAACCCCGGCCGGCCGUUGAAACUGGUUUUCUAGAGUUGGAGAGAAGUAUGCGGAAUUCGUGGUGUAGCGGUGAAAUGCAUAGAUAUCACGAAGAACUCCGAUUGCGAAGGCAGCAUACCGGCUCCAUACUGACGCUGAGGCACGAAAGCGUGGGGAUCGAACAGGAUUAGAUACCCCAGUA
This 462-nucleotide ribosomal RNA is filed under the name uncultured bacterium. RNAcentral's name for it is "bacterial SSU rRNA". It matches the Rfam family "Bacterial small subunit ribosomal RNA", at positions 331 to 792 of the family's 1533-position model. The record is from RNAcentral.